RNAcentral lists this ribosomal RNA (434 nucleotides) under Glomus arbuscular mycorrhizal symbiont of Gymnosiphon minutus. RNAcentral's name for it is "SSU rRNA". It matches the Rfam family "Eukaryotic small subunit ribosomal RNA", at positions 608 to 1046 of the family's 1831-position model. The record is from RNAcentral. Lineage: Eukaryota; Fungi; Glomeromycota; Glomeromycetes; Glomerales; Glomeraceae.
AGUUGUUGCAGUUAAAAAGCUCGUAGUUGAAUUUCGGGGUCAGCAGGUUGGUCGUGCCACUGGUAUGUACUGGCUUCGCUGAUUCCUCCCUCUUGUAGAACCGUAAUGCCAUUAAGUUGGUGUUGCGGGGAAACAGGACUGUUACUUUGAAAAAAUUAGAGUGUUUAAAGCAGGCUAACGCUUGAAUACAUUAGCAUGGAAUAAUGAAAUAGGACGAUCGAUCCUAUUUUGUUGGUUUCUAGGAUUGACGUAAUGAUUAAUAGGGAUAGUUGGGGGCAUUAGUAUUCAAUUGUCAGAGGUGAAAUUCUUGGAUUUAUUGAAGACUGACUACUGCGAAAGCAUUUGCCAAGGAUGUUUUCAUUAAUCAAGAACGAAAGUUAGGGGAUCGAAGACGAUCAGAUACCGUCGUAGUCUUAACCAUAAACUAUGCCGAC